Molecule: ribosomal RNA, 467 nt
Filed under: uncultured bacterium
Lineage: Bacteria
Description: partial 16S ribosomal RNA
Rfam family: Bacterial small subunit ribosomal RNA
Source: RNAcentral
ACGAACGCUGGCGGCGUGCUUAACACAUGCAAGUCGAACGGAAAGGCCCUGCUUUUGUGGGGUGCUCGAGUGGCGAACGGGUGAGUAACACGUGAGUAACCUGCCCUUGACUUUGGGAUAACUUCAGGAAACUGGGGCUAAUACCGGAUAGGAGCUCCUGCUGCAUGGUGGGGGUUGGAAAGUUUCGGCGGUUGGGGAUGGACUCGCGGCUUAUCAGCUUGUUGGUGGGGUAGUGGCUUACCAAGGCUUUGACGGGUAGCCGGCCUGAGAGGGUGGCCGGCCUCAAUGGGACGAAGAACGGCCGCAGGCUGCAAGGGGGCGCGGCGGGGGGGAGUAUGAAGGAGGGGGCGGGAGCGGGAGGCGGCAGGCCGCGGAGCGGAAAGCGGGGGUUUGUGUUGAGAACCAAUUUCGCAGGGGAGAGGGGGGGCGGGACGGUAGGGAAUAAGAAAGCCCCGGCUAACUACGUG